UACAUGGUCGGUCCCUUGAGAACAGGCCGCAGUGGUUUCACGCACGUACUGGUCGCAGUCGACAAGUUCACGAAGUGGAUUGAGGCUAAACCAAUCAAGAAUCUUGACGCCGGUACUGCAGUUACCUUCAUCAGGGAGCUGACGUUCAGACAUGGGGUCCCGCACAGCAUCAUUACGGAUAAUGGGUCAAACUUUGACUCGGAAGAAUUCAAGGGUUUCUGCAACGCUCAAGGCACACGAGUCGACUACGCUUCGGUCGCUCAUCCACAGUCGAAUGGACAAGCGGAGCGAGCCAAUGGCUUAAUCCUCAAGGGUUUAAAACCCCGACUAAUGCGUGAUCUCAAGCACGCGGCUGGAGCAUGGGUCGACGAACUCCCUUCGGUGCUUUGG
RNAcentral lists this ribosomal RNA (390 nucleotides) under Triticum aestivum (bread wheat). Its description in RNAcentral is "partial small subunit ribosomal RNA". Lineage: Eukaryota; Viridiplantae; Streptophyta; Magnoliopsida; Poales; Poaceae. The record is from RNAcentral.